CAGCAAUGAUGUAAUUUCUUAGGACACCUUUGGAUUGGCUAUAGUAUUGUCAAUAUGAAAAAACUUUCUACUGAGCUUA
Small nucleolar RNA from Monomorium pharaonis (pharaoh ant), 79 nucleotides. RefSeq annotates it as small nucleolar RNA SNORD58. The transcript has a single exon. The record is from RefSeq and is a predicted model, not a curated record. NCBI's taxonomy places the organism in Eukaryota, Metazoa, Arthropoda, Insecta, Hymenoptera, Formicidae.